This 317-nucleotide ribosomal RNA is filed under the name Skeletonema marinoi. Its description in RNAcentral is "partial Bacterial small subunit ribosomal RNA". It matches the Rfam family "Bacterial small subunit ribosomal RNA", at positions 1053 to 1392 of the family's 1533-position model. The record is from RNAcentral. Lineage: Eukaryota; Bacillariophyta; Thalassiosirophyceae; Thalassiosirales; Thalassiosiraceae.
CGUCAGCUCGUGUCGUGAGAUGUUCGGUUAAGUCCGGCAACGAGCGCAACCUACAUCCUUAGUUGCCAGCAGUUCGGCUGGGCACUCUAGGGAAACUGCCCGUGAUAAGCGGGAGGAAGGUGUAGAUGACGUCAAGUCCUCAUGGCCCUUACGGGUUGGGCUACACACGUGCUACAAUGGCAUCUACAGUGAGUUAAUCUCCAAAAGAUGUCUCAGUUCGGAUUGGGGUCUGCAACUCGACCCCAUGAAGUCGGAAUCGCUAGUAAUCGCGUAACAGCAUGACGCGGUGAAUACGUUCCCGGGCCUUGUACACACCG